CGCCUCUUGAUUAAAUAUAAGAGGUCCAGCCUGCCCAGUGACUCUGUUUAACGGCCGCGGUAUCCUAACCGUGCGAAGGUAGCGUAAUCACUUGUUCUUUAAAUGAGGACUAGUAUGAAUGGCAUCACGAAGGUUAUACUGUCUCCUUUUUCUAAUCAGUGAAACUAAUCUCCCCGUGAAGAAGCGGGGAUAACGAUAUAAGACGAGAAGACCCUAUGGAGCUUUAAACUAAGUAACACCUGCUUUCAAACAUUUAUACUUCCGAGCACCAACAAUCAUUUCAGCUUGCUGAUUACUAGUUUUAGGUUGGGGUGACCGCGGAGCAUAAAACAACCUCCACAUUGAAUGGGGACUCCCCUGAGCUAUGAGCUACAACUCUAUGCACCAAUAUAUUGUCAUUCAUUGACCCAAUAUUUUUGAUCAACGAACCAAGUUACCCUAGGGAUAACAGCGCAAUCCGCUUCAAGAGCUCCUAUCGACAAGCGGGUUUACGACCUCGAUGUUGGAUCAGGGUAUCCCAGUGGUGCAGCCGCUACUAAAGGUUCGUUUGUUCAACGAUUAAAACCCU
Molecule: ribosomal RNA, 568 nt
Filed under: Smilisca phaeota
Lineage: Eukaryota; Metazoa; Chordata; Amphibia; Anura; Hylidae
Description: partial 16S ribosomal RNA
Rfam family: Bacterial large subunit ribosomal RNA
Source: RNAcentral